RNAcentral lists this ribosomal RNA (365 nucleotides) under uncultured eukaryote. Its description in RNAcentral is "partial 18S ribosomal RNA". It matches the Rfam family "Eukaryotic small subunit ribosomal RNA", at positions 592 to 976 of the family's 1831-position model. The record is from RNAcentral.
CAAUAGCGUAUAUUUAAGUUGUUGCAGUUAAAAAGCUCGUAGUCGUAUUUUGGCUGAGAACGAUCGGUCCGCCGUUAGGUGUGCACUGAUUGGUCUCAGCUUCCUGGUGAGGAGGUGUGCUUCACGGCCACUUAGUCACCGUGGUUACUUUGAAAAAAUUAGAGUGUUCAAAGCGGGCUUACGCUUGAAUAUAUUAGCAUGGAAUAACACCAUAGGACUCCUGUCCUAUUUCGUUGGUCUCGGGACGGGAGUAAUGAUUAAGAGGAACAGUUGGGGGCAUUCGUAUUUCAUUGUCAGAGGUGAAAUUCUUGGAUUUAUGAAAGACGAACUUCUGCGAAAGCAUUUGCCAAGGAUGUUUUCAUUGA